AGGUGAUCUAGCCAUGGGCAGGUUGAAGGUUGAGUAACAUCAACUGGAGGACCGAACCGACUAAUGUUGAAAAAUUAGCGGAUGACUUGUGGCUAGGGGUGAAAGGCCAAUCAAACCUGGAGAUAGCUGGUUCUCCCCGAAAGCUAUUUAGGUAGCGCCUCGGACGAAUACUACUGGGGGUAGAGCACUGUUAAGGCUAGGGGGUCAUCCCGACUUACCAACCCUUUGCAAACUCCGAAUACCAGUAAGUACUAUCCGGGAGACACACGGCGGGUGCUAACGUCCGUCGUGGAGAGGGAAACAACCCAGACCGCCAGCUAAGGUCCCAAAUUACUACUAAGUGGGAAACGAUGUGGGAAGGCUCAGACAGCCAGGAUGUUGGCUUAGAAGCAGCCAUCAUUUAAAGAAAGCGUAAUAGCUCACUGGUCGAGUCGGCCUGCGCGGAAGAUGUAACGGGGCUAAGUAGUAAACCGAAGCUGCGGCAAUGUGCUUUUGCACAUUGGGUAGGGGAGCGUUCUGUAAGCGGUUGAAGGUGUGUGGUAACGCAUGCUGGACGUAUCAGAAGUGCGAAUGCUGACAUGAGUAACGAUAAAGGGGGUGAAAAACCUCCUCGCCGGAAGACCAAGGGUUCCUG
RNAcentral lists this ribosomal RNA (634 nucleotides) under Salmonella enterica subsp. enterica serovar Typhi. RNAcentral's name for it is "partial 23S ribosomal RNA". It matches the Rfam family "Bacterial large subunit ribosomal RNA", at positions 723 to 1357 of the family's 2925-position model. Lineage: Bacteria; Pseudomonadati; Pseudomonadota; Gammaproteobacteria; Enterobacterales; Enterobacteriaceae. The record is from RNAcentral.